UUAAGUUAUUAAGGGCGCACGGUGGAUGCCUUGGCACUAGAAGCCGAUGAAGGACGUUACUAACGACGAUAUGCUUUGGGGAGCUGUAAGUAAGCUUUGAUCCAGAGAUUUCCGAAUGGGGAAACCCAGCAUGAGUUAUGUCAUGUUAUCGAUAUGUGAAUACAUAGCAUAUCAGAAGGCACACCCGGAGAACUGAAACAUCUUAGUACCCGGAGGAAGAGAAAGAAAAUUCGAUUCCCUUAGUAGCGGCGAGCGAAACGGGAAGAGCCCAAACCAACAAGCUUGCUUGUUGGGGUUGUAGGACACUCUAUACGGAGUUACAAAGGACGACAUUAGACGAAUCAUCUGGAAAGAUGAAUCAAAGAAGGUAAUAAUCCUGUAGUCGAAAAUGUUGUCUCUCUUGAGUGGAUCCUGAGUACGACGGAGCACGUGAAAUUCCGUCGGAAUCUGGGAGGACCAUCUCCUAAGGCUAAAUACUCUCUAGUGACCGAUAGUGAACCAGUACCGUGAGGGAAAGGUGAAAAGCACCCCGGAAGGGGAGUGAAAUAGAACCUGAAACCGUGUGCUUACAAGUAGUCAGAGCCCGUUAAUGGGUGAUGGCGUGCCUUUUGUAGAAUGAACCGGCGAGUUACGAUUUGAUGCAAGGUUAAGCAGUAAAUGUGGAGCCGUAGCGAAAGCGAGUCUGAAUAGGGCGUUUAGUAUUUGGUCGUAGACCCGAAACCAGGUGAUCUACCCUUGGUCAGGUUGAAGUUCAGGUAACACUGAAUGGAGGACCGAACCGACUUACGUUGAAAAGUGAGCGGAUGAACUGAGGGUAGCGGAGAAAUUCCAAUCGAACCUGGAGAUAGCUGGUUCUCUCCGAAAUAGCUUUAGGGCUAGCCUCAAGUGAUGAUUAUUGGAGGUAGAGCACUGUUUGGACGAGGGGCCCCUCUCGGGUUACCGAAUUCAGACAAACUCCGAAUGCCAAUUAAUUUAACUUGGGAGUCAGAACAUGGGUGAUAAGGUCCGUGUUCGAAAGGGAAACAGCCCAGACCACCAGCUAAGGUCCCAAAAUAUAUGUUAAGUGGAAAAGGAUGUGGCGUUGCCCAGACAACUAGGAUGUUGGCUUAGAAGCAGCCAUCAUUUAAAGAGUGCGUAAUAGCUCACUAGUCGAGUGACACUGCGCCGAAAAUGUACCGGGGCUAAACAUAUUACCGAAGCUGUGGAUUGUCCUUUGGACAAUGGUAGGAGAGCGUUCUAAGGGCGUUGAAGCAUGAUCGUAAGGACAUGUGGAGCGCUUAGAAGUGAGAAUGCCGGUGUGAGUAGCGAAAGACGGGUGAGAAUCCCGUCCACCGAUUGACUAAGGUUUCCAGAGGAAGGCUCGUCCGCUCUGGGUUAGUCGGGUCCUAAGCUGAGGCCGACAGGCGUAGGCGAUGGAUAACAGGUUGAUAUUCCUGUACCACUUAUAAUCGUUUUAAUCGAUGGGGGGACGCAGUAGGAUAGGCGAAGCGUGCGAUUGGAUUGCACGUCUAAGCAGUAAGGCUGAGUAUUAGGCAAAUCCGGUACUCAUUAAGGCUGAGCUGUGAUGGGGAGAAGACAUUGUGUCUUCGAGUCGUUGAUUUCACACUGCCGAGAAAAGCCUCUAGAUAGAAAAUAGGUGCCCGUACCGCAAACCGACACAGGUAGUCAAGAUGAGAAUUCUAAGGUGAGCGAGCGAACUCUCGUUAAGGAACUCGGCAAAAUGACCCCGUAACUUCGGGAGAAGGGGUGCUCUUUAGGGUUAACGCCCAGAAGAGCCGCAGUGAAUAGGCCCAAGCGACUGUUUAUCAAAAACACAGGUCUCUGCUAAACCGUAAGGUGAUGUAUAGGGGCUGACGCCUGCCCGGUGCUGGAAGGUUAAGAGGAGUGGUUAGCUUCUGCGAAGCUACGAAUCGAAGCCCCAGUAAACGGCGGCCGUAACUAUAACGGUCCUAAGGUAGCGAAAUUCCUUGUCGGGUAAGUUCCGACCCGCACGAAAGGCGUAACGAUUUGGGCACUGUCUCAACGAGAGACUCGGUGAAAUCAUAGUACCUGUGAAGAUGCAGGUUACCCGCGACAGGACGGAAAGACCCCGUGGAGCUUUACUGUAGCCUGAUAUUGAAAUUCGGCACAGCUUGUACAGGAUAGGUAGGAGCCUUUGAAACGUGAGCGCUAGCUUACGUGGAGGCGCUGGUGGGAUACUACCCUAGCUGUGUUGGCUUUCUAACCCGCACCACUUAUCGUGGUGGGAGACAGUGUCAGGCGGGCAGUUUGACUGGGGCGGUCGCCUCCUAAAAGGUAACGGAGGCGCUCAAAGGUUCCCUCAGAAUGGUUGGAAAUCAUUCAUAGAGUGUAAAGGCAUAAGGGAGCUUGACUGCGAGACCUACAAGUCGAGCAGGGUCGAAAGACGGACUUAGUGAUCCGGUGGUUCCGCAUGGAAGGGCCAUCGCUCAACGGAUAAAAGCUACCCCGGGGAUAACAGGCUUAUCUCCCCCAAGAGUUCACAUCGACGGGGAGGUUUGGCACCUCGAUGUCGGCUCAUCGCAUCCUGGGGCUGUAGUCGGUCCCAAGGGUUGGGCUGUUCGCCCAUUAAAGCGGUACGCGAGCUGGGUUCAGAACGUCGUGAGACAGUUCGGUCCCUAUCCGUCGUGGGCGUAGGAAAUUUGAGAGGAGCUGUCCUUAGUACGAGAGGACCGGGAUGGACAUACCUCUGGUGUACCAGUUGUCGUGCCAACGGCAUAGCUGGGUAGCUAUGUGUGGACGGGAUAAGUGCUGAAAGCAUCUAAGCAUGAAGCCCCCCUCAAGAUGAGAUUUCCCAACUUCGGUUAUAAGAUCCCUCAAAGAUGAUGAGGUUAAUAGGUUCGAGGUGGAAGCAUGGUGACAUGUGGAGCUGACGAAUACUAAUCGAUCGAAGACUUAAUCAA
This 2921-nucleotide ribosomal RNA is filed under the name Staphylococcus aureus. RNAcentral describes it as "bacterial LSU rRNA". It matches the Rfam family "Bacterial large subunit ribosomal RNA". The record is from RNAcentral. Lineage: Bacteria; Bacillati; Bacillota; Bacilli; Caryophanales; Staphylococcaceae.